RNAcentral lists this long non-coding RNA (286 nucleotides) under Elaeis guineensis (African oil palm). RNAcentral describes it as "long non-coding RNA (EGUI_LNC004193)". Lineage: Eukaryota; Viridiplantae; Streptophyta; Magnoliopsida; Arecales; Arecaceae. The record is from RNAcentral.
GCUGCUCAAGGAAAUUUAUGGAAAAUUGUUCUACAUCAUUCAAUCAAAUGGAUUUACAAGUGGAUUAUGUUCAGUCCCCACAAGCAUUCCCCAUGCAAAAGCAUGCUGACACGUCACCUAAGAAAAAGGCAGUCUUGCAUGAUAUCAGAGUUAGAUGGUACGCCGCAAAAACAUCAUUAAAAAAAAAAAAAAAAAUCAUAGCAAGAUAUAUAUUUAAAGGUCAUGAGAUACUACAAUCAACACUGCUUUGUAGAGUUGUCACAAAAUUUCAUCUUUCUUUAGAGUC